This 456-nucleotide ribosomal RNA is filed under the name uncultured Sphingobacteriales bacterium. RNAcentral describes it as "bacterial SSU rRNA". It matches the Rfam family "Bacterial small subunit ribosomal RNA", at positions 924 to 1382 of the family's 1533-position model. The record is from RNAcentral. Lineage: Bacteria; Pseudomonadati; Bacteroidota; Sphingobacteriia; Sphingobacteriales.
CACAAGCGGUGGAGCAUGUGGUUUAAUUCGAUGAUACGCGAGGAACCUUACCUGGGCUCAAAUGUAUGUUGACGUAUUCUGAAAGGGAUACUUCUUCGGACAAUAUACAAGGUGCUGCAUGGUUGUCGUCAGCUCGUGCCGUGAGGUGUCGGGUUAAGUCCCAUAACGAGCGCAACCCUUACCUUUAGUUGCCAUCAGGUAAUGCUGGGGACUCUAAAGGAACUGCCUACGCAAGUAGUGAGGAAGGCGGGGAUGACGUCAAAUCAGCACGGCCCUUACGUCCAGGGCUACACACGUGCUACAAUGGCCGAUACAGAGGGCAGCUACCUGGUGACAGGAUGCAAAUCUCCAAAGUCGGUCUCAGUUCGGAUCGGAGUCUGCAACCCGACUCCGUGAAGUUGGAUUCGCUAGUAAUCGCGCAUCAGCCAUGGCGCGGUGAAUACGUUCCCGGGCCUU